AAACAAGAGAGCAAAAGCCAACAAGCUCAUCUUUUUAUUUCUCCUACAUAAUUACACAACAGACAGCAAGUAGACUUUUAGGUUUCUGGUUCUGUACCUGCAAAAUUUCAUUAGGGUGAGCUUAAAAAGCUCAGUAGGGGCAUAUACCUGAUGCGUAAAAUAAGUUAACACACAAAAUUAAACCCUCUUUUUAUCAAAUGUAGUAAAGUAUGUAAGUAGGGAUCGUUCUAGGCCGGGGAUUAGGAGGGAUUGCUAAACCCUUGAAAACUGACUUAAAAACAUAAAAACAAAAUUUAAAACACUAAACUAGACUCAAAGAAUGCAAAACUAUACUUUAAAAUACUUAAACAAACAUAAAACUCAAAACAGCAACCUAAUGACUCAAAACUGCCUAAAAACCACUUUCUGGGCAGUUUUGAGAACCUAACAAGAACUUGGACAAAGUUGGAUGAAAACUUGAAUCAAAACACUUAGAAACACAAAUCAAAACACUUUCUAACUAAUCUAAGACUUCAAAAUAAAGGGGGAUUUGUUUUGGACGAAAAUUGAAAACAAAACAGAAACUUUAAAACAAAACAGAUUGUAAAACGUUUUUGGAUGAAAAUGAUGGAUAAAAGGCUAGUUAGGAGGUUCUUCUCCACACAUGACACACUUGCAAACAAAAUGAUUUUCAGUUGUUCUUUCAAUAAAUUAUGAAACUCAACACCCCAAGUUAAUUAGAUACGCUUAAAUUAACCUUCAAGUUCUCCUUAAGUUAAUGAAUUGGAUGGAAAAGCGCAUACAACAAUUCAAAGCAUUCCUCAAAGGUUCCUUACGUGAUGAGCACAAUAAAGAUACAAUCAAGAAUCAUGAAGCACAAUGAGAACUAUAAGUGUUGACGAGGCAUUCGUUACUAUGAUGAGCAUGAAACUAGUGCCAAGAAUUCAUUCAACGCGAUCGUUUUCAAGCGACCUUCACUACUUGUGAUUAUAAGAUUGUAACUAUUAGGUGAAACUCCCUCAUAAUCUAGCAUCAUAUUCAUGCAUGAAAACUAAGCGUGCACUCUCAAUCAACAUACACAAAUAAGUUAUCAAUCAAGUAGAUGAACGAAUUGAAUCCGCAACUUAUGAAAUAACAACUGAAUGUAAUCAAAUCAUAUUGCAAGCAUGUACAUGGUUUCGAAUCACCCCCCAACUAAGGGGGUUUAGUUCCUCAUUCUUGCAAUACAAAGAUACAUAAAAUUAGACAUCAAAAUCAAAGGAAAGAAAAACACCUAAAAUGCUCCAACUUGGAAAGCAAGUGCAUCAAUGGAUCUCCCUUCCUCCUUGUUGCGGCAUGAAGCUUGUGGACAGAUUUUUGGGUGGAUUUAUGGUGUAGAAUGGAUGGGGAAUGAUAUGGAGGGGUUUAGGGUGAGUGUGGAAGAGUGUUUGAUGGUUGGAAGGUGGUGGAGAACUAGGCAAAGAGGGUGGAAGAAGGUGGAGUGGCUGUUAUGUUUUCUAGGCACUAGAAUGGUGUUUUUUGGGGUGUUUUUGCUUCCUAGGGUGUGUAUGGACGAAUUUCUGUGAUAAAAUGAUGAAUAUGGGGGAUUGUUCUUUGGCCAAGGGGUGUAAACAUGUAUUUAUAGGCCCCAAAAACCUUAGAAAAUCAGGUUAGGUUAAGGAUGAAAUGCAUGGCAAUUUGUGUGUGUGGUGUGCAAUGGUCCAAGGGUGAAAAUGAAGUGAUGAUGCAAAGUGUGAAGGGUAAAAUGGAGUGGUCUUGUAGCUAGGGGGCAUGAAUGAUUGUGUACAUUGCAUAGAGAUGGAAAGGGAGGUGAAAAUGUGUCAAUAAAUGGGUCAAAGGUGCAGCAACAUGUGGUACACAAGGCAUGGGAUUCCAAAUGUGAAUGAUGGAGCAUCAAUUGGUGCAUGUAAUGGAUGUAAAUGUUGUCUAAAAUCUAAUGAGUGAAGGGAACAAGAGGUAUCAAGCAAUUGAGUGUAAUAAUUAAAUGAAUUGAAGCAUGAAAUUAGAAAUUAUGUAGGGGACAAGAGUGAUCAAGCAUGGCAUGGAAUCCAAAGGGAAUUCUAUGUGGUUUGCAUGGCAAGGAAUGCAAGUUGGGGUGACAGAUUUUUGGGCUGUUUUCUUCAUCUUUUGGACCAUAAUUCUUCAUAUUCUUGGCCUCUUUAGUUCUCAAAUUCGUCCAUCCACUUGGCCCAUGCAUUUGCUAUCCAUUCCAAGCCCGAAACAUGCUCCAAAGGCCUCCAAAAUGCAUCUUCUUGCAUACUUUGUACUUAGAGUCUGAAAACACACGAAAAUUACUUUAAACAUUAAAAUAACUAAGGAAACACGACAUAAAUGCACAAGAACAAGCCAACUAAGUCGCAUAAAUAUGCUCCUAUCAAUACCUUCAUUUCUAAAAUAAUAAAGUAUAAUUAUGAUAGCAGAAUUAAAACCAAAAUCAGAAUGGUGCAUAAGUAUGCAAUGCAAAUGCCUUAAUUAUACCCGUUAAUCCACAUAACUAAACACCCAGACCUUGUACGUCCCAUUCCGUACUUAUACCAUUUGAUCCCGAGUGUUUAAAUAUAUGAACUAACCCCCAUCCCUAAACAUCCCCGAACUCCCCUUUUUGUUAGUCAUCUUGCCUAAACUCUUCGUCUCCAGUCCCGAAUUACCCUUAAAGAAUCUGUGCACUGUGGGCUCGCCUGAGACCUGGUACCUACUAAGAGUUUGGCUCAACUACACAAAACUAAUAGUCACCACCUUAGAUUCCCGAAGUUCUUUCCAACAAUCCCACUUUACUCCCACAUCAUGGACCCAAAUUUCAUUUCGAACAUUCAUUAUACUCAAAUAUCCAAUAGAAACAUGUAUAUCAAACUUGUAUAUAUACUUAAGUAAGAAAUAUUUAAAUUCAUAUAUAUAUAUAUAUAUAUAUAUAUAUAGAAGGUUUCCCAGAACCCCCUACCUUGAAUUCGAUUAAUUUUGCUUCUCUGAAGAACCCUUCAAAUCUCUGAAUCCUUCCUUCACAAUCACGUUCUCUAACUCUCAAUUUCUCUACCCCUUUUUGAUUUCUGAUGCUUUCCCACUUCUCUGCAACCCCUUUUAUAGUUUCUCUAAUCCUACUAACUCCUAUCAGAGUCCUGAUAAAAACCUAGCUUCCUAGGUCGUCCACCUCCUGCUUAUAGACCUCUGUGUCUCUUCUCCGUUCACCCUCCGCUGAACACACUCCUUGGUGAAAUAGGAGAUGAACAACUAUCUAUGACACACUCCUUUGAUCAAUCAAAGGUCGACCUAUCACAAGGUGUCCUAAUCUCUAUC
This 3270-nucleotide long non-coding RNA is filed under the name Malus domestica (apple). Its description in RNAcentral is "long non-coding RNA (MDOM_LNC005124)". The record is from RNAcentral. Lineage: Eukaryota; Viridiplantae; Streptophyta; Magnoliopsida; Rosales; Rosaceae.